GAUGAACGCUAGCGGCAGGCUUAAUACAUGCAAGUCGAGCGGGACCUUCGGGUCUAGCGGCGGACGGGUUAGUAACGCGUGGGAACGUGCCCAAAGGUACGGAAUAGCCUCGGGAAACUGAGAGUAAUACCGUAUGUGCCCCUCGGGGGAAAGAUUUAUCGCCUUUGGAUCGGCCCGCGUUGGAUUAGGUAGUUGGUGGGGUAAUGGCCUACCAAGCCGACGAUCCAUAGCUGGUUUGAGAGGAUGAUCAGCAACACUGGGACUGAGACACGGCCCAGACUCCUACGGGAGGCAGCAGUGGGGAAUAUUGGACAAUGGGCGAAAGCCUGAUCCAGCCAUGCCGCGUGAGUGAUGAAGGUCUUCGGAUCGUAAAGCUCUGUGGGAAGGGACGAAAAAAGCCGACCUAAUACGUCGGAGCUUGACGGUACCUUCUUAGCAAGACACCGGCUAACUCCGUGCCAGCAGCCGCGGUAAGGUCGUCAUGU
This 485-nucleotide ribosomal RNA is filed under the name uncultured bacterium. RNAcentral's name for it is "bacterial SSU rRNA". It matches the Rfam family "Bacterial small subunit ribosomal RNA", at positions 28 to 534 of the family's 1533-position model. The record is from RNAcentral.